CCAGCCCUGAUCCUCCACUUCCAGAACCAGAAACAUACACAACUCAUUCAUUUCACAAAACUCUUACUGCUUCAGACACAAGCACCCGUGGCUGUUUAUUUAUUUAUCGAAAACAUGCAGAGGACUGUCUUCCUCCAUUGGAUAUGUCCCAGCAGCCACCUAGGCAGGAAUUGGUUGCAACUGAUCUGCAUAGAAACAAGUGGC
RNAcentral lists this unclassified non-coding RNA (204 nucleotides) under Hevea brasiliensis (rubber tree). The record is from RNAcentral. Lineage: Eukaryota; Viridiplantae; Streptophyta; Magnoliopsida; Malpighiales; Euphorbiaceae.